This is a long non-coding RNA of Bombyx mori (domestic silkworm), 464 nucleotides long. RefSeq lists it as uncharacterized. The record is from RefSeq and is a predicted model, not a curated record. Lineage: Eukaryota; Metazoa; Arthropoda; Insecta; Lepidoptera; Bombycidae. The transcript is spliced from 2 exons.
UUCAGGGAAAAACGUCACGUACUCUGCGAGUUCUCGUGUUUGGAACAACAAACAAACACAGUUACCUUGUGUCUUCGCUAUAUACGUUAAGAGACCGGUGUACGAGUAUAACGAAAGCUAGUACGUCCGACGAUUUCAGUGUUGGUUAUGAAGAUAACCUGACGGUGGAGCCCGUUGAAAACAAAAAGUGAAUACCACUCCCUACCAUGACAAGACUGAAAGAGAAAUUAAUCUGCAUUAGUAUGCCAAUAAAGCCAGACCUAAAAAGAGGUUACUGCCUUCACUAGGAUGACGUAGAAAAUAAGUCGAAAGCUCAGGGCCAAGGCCAACAUGUACUGGAAUCAUUAAUGAUUGUGUGAAAUCGUCUAUCACAUUUAAAAAAAAUUAAUCGGCAAAUCAACCGGAAUAUUUACGGCGUAAAUUAUUUUGCGAUAACACUUCAAUAAAUAUAUGACGUCAUAAAA